Molecule: ribosomal RNA, 486 nt
Filed under: uncultured bacterium
Lineage: Bacteria
Description: partial 16S ribosomal RNA
Rfam family: Bacterial small subunit ribosomal RNA
Source: RNAcentral
UUGAACGCUGGCGGCAUGCCUUACACCUGCCAGUCGAACGGCAGCACGGGUGCUUGCACCUGGUGGCGCGUGGCGAACGGGUGAGUAAUACAUCGGAACAUGUCCUGUAGUGGGGGAUAGCCCGGCGAAAGCCGGAUUAAUACCGCAUACGAUCUACGGAUGAAAGCGGGGGACCUUCGGGCCUCGCGCUAUAGGGUUGGCCGAUGGCUGAUUAGCUAGUUGGUGGGGUAAAGGCCUACCAAGGCGACGAUCAGUAGCUGGUCUGAGAGGACGACCAGCCACACUGGGACUGAGACACGGCCCAGACUCCUACGGGAGGCAGCAGUGGGGAAUUUUGGACAAUAGGCGAAAGCCUGAUCCAGCAAUGCCGCGUGUGUGAAGAAGGCCUUCGGGUUGUAAAGCACUUUUGUCCGGAAAGAAAUCCUUGGCCCUAAUACGGUCGGGGGGAUGACGGUACCGGAAGAAUAAGCACCGGCUAACUACGUG